AGCAAUCAGUCAAUGGCCGGCGCGCGCAUUGUUUACAUAUCCGUCAGAUUGACACUUUAUAAUUAAAUUAUGCCGUCUUGUGCCGUUCCAACAUGUAAGAAUGCUACUGGAAUUACGAAGAAAGUGCAUGGGAUCAUGUUUUAUCCGAUACACAGCCAGAGUUGCCUCGCAAUCAAAUUUAAGUAUUGGUGAUGUUUUUGAUUUGGAUUCUGUUUUUCACUCCAAGAAAAGUUAAACUAAAAGCACUACUGCGCCGUAAACAAAUGUUUUGUUGUCGAUAUGUUUACAUAAUAAAGAACCUUAAGUUUC
Long non-coding RNA from Ostrinia nubilalis (European corn borer), 309 nucleotides. RefSeq lists it as uncharacterized. NCBI's taxonomy places the organism in Eukaryota, Metazoa, Arthropoda, Insecta, Lepidoptera, Crambidae. The transcript is spliced from 2 exons. The record is from RefSeq and is a predicted model, not a curated record.